CUCCCAUCCUCGUCUAUAGUGAUGAAUAAGGAAGUGUGCUCUCAUUCAAACACUUUACAGACUGAUGGGUGCAGCAAACCGCUUUACGUACGGGUUUUCAAGGCAGAGCUGUUCUAAGAUGAUACUUGAGUCCAAAGCAAAAGAUGCUGGAUUAGUUCCCCCUUGAGAGGAAGCUCAAGGCCCCCACAAACAAGUUCCUUCCUUUUGCAGUGCCUCAACGGAUCCUGGGACGGUCGGCGGCACCGACAUCGAGGCAUUCGUGGUUGUGGGCAAUAUGAUGUGCGUUUCCUGUGCGUGUGUGUGUGUGUGUGCGUGUGUUUAAAUAUGUGUGUGUUGCCAAGUCACGCAUUGUUUGUGAGAGGAUGUGUUGGGAGGGGUUGUGUCUAACAAAACCAAAAUCAGGCGUCUCUUCUUU
Molecule: long non-coding RNA, 415 nt
Organism: Gadus chalcogrammus (walleye pollock)
Lineage: Eukaryota; Metazoa; Chordata; Actinopteri; Gadiformes; Gadidae
Exons: 3
Source: RefSeq, a predicted model, not a curated record